ACAAGCGGAGGAACAUGUGGUUAAUUCGAUGAUACGCGAGGUAACCUUACUGGGCUUAAAUGUAGAGUGCAUUUUUUAGAGAUAGAAAUUCCCUUCGGGGCUUUCUGCAAGGUGCUGCAUGGUUGUCGUCAGCUCGUGCCGUGAGGUGUCGGGUUAAGUCCCAUAACGAGCGCAACCCUUAUCGUUAGUUGCCAGCUGGUAAAGCAGGGGACUCUAGCGAAACUGCCACCGUAAGGUGAGAGGAAGGUGGGAUGACGUCAAAUCAGCACGGCCCUUAUGUCCAGGGCUACACACGUGUUACAAUGGCCGGCACAGAGGGCAGCUACCUGGUGACAGGAUGCUAAUCUCGAAAACCGGCCUCAGUUCGGAUCGAAGUCUGCAACUCGACUUCGUGAAGCUGGAUUCGCUAGUAAUCGCGCAUCAGCCAUGGCGCGGUGAAUACGUUCCCGGGCCUU
Molecule: ribosomal RNA, 455 nt
Filed under: uncultured Sphingobacteriales bacterium
Lineage: Bacteria; Pseudomonadati; Bacteroidota; Sphingobacteriia; Sphingobacteriales
Description: bacterial SSU rRNA
Rfam family: Bacterial small subunit ribosomal RNA
Source: RNAcentral